RNAcentral lists this ribosomal RNA (306 nucleotides) under Triticum aestivum (bread wheat). Its description in RNAcentral is "partial small subunit ribosomal RNA". The record is from RNAcentral. Lineage: Eukaryota; Viridiplantae; Streptophyta; Magnoliopsida; Poales; Poaceae.
AUGCCGGUAUUGCCCCCGUUCCUUCUCUGUUUUGGUCUUGCUUUUAGUUCUUGUGCUUUAGGGGCAAUGGUGGUUGCAUCUCUAGAUUUUUGGCUAAAUCUAGGCUUGAGUUGGUUGGAGAAGGCAACUAGAUCAUCUAGAUUGAUGUUUGGUGGGAUUAUUUUUGAAUUUGGUAGGCCGGUAGUGCCGGAUCUGUCCACGGUAGUAGGAAACCACUGUUUCACCGCCUCGCGCUUUGAAACUGUUGUGUAUCCGCCUCAAGACGUACUACCGCUCCCUUUGGAGCGGUACUACCGCUUGACCUAG